CCUACGGGAGGCAGCAGUAGGGAAUAUUGGUCAAUGGGCGAGAGCCUGAACCAGCCAUGCCGCGUGCAGGAAGACGGCUUUCUGAGUUGUAAACUGCUUUUAUACGGGAAGAAAAAGGCCCUGCGGGGUUUAUUGCCUGUACCGUAAGAAUAAGCACCGGCUAACUCCGUGCCAGCAGCCGCGGUAAUACGGAGGGUGCCAGCGUUGUCCGGAUUUAUUGGGUUUAAAGGGUGCGUAGGCGGAUUUUUAAGUCAGAGGUGAAAUCCUACCGCUCAACGGUAGAACGGCCUUUGAUACUGACAGGCUUGAGUUAUUGUGAAGUAGUUAGAAUGUGUAGUGUAGCGGUGAAAUGCAUAGAUAUUACACAGAAUACCGAUUGCGAAGGCAGAUUACUAACAAUAUACUGACGCUGAGGGACGAAAGCGUGGGUAGCGAACAGGAUUAGAUACCCUGGUAGUCCACGCCGUGAACGAUGGUCACUAGCUGUUCGACGUACAUUGGUACGUUGAGUGGCUAAGCGAAAGUGAUAAGUGACCCACCUGGGGAGUACGCUCGCAAGAGUGAAACUCAAAGGAAUUGACGGA
RNAcentral lists this ribosomal RNA (584 nucleotides) under uncultured bacterium. RNAcentral's name for it is "bacterial SSU rRNA". It matches the Rfam family "Bacterial small subunit ribosomal RNA", at positions 338 to 917 of the family's 1533-position model. The record is from RNAcentral.